RNAcentral lists this ribosomal RNA (497 nucleotides) under uncultured bacterium. RNAcentral describes it as "partial 16S ribosomal RNA". It matches the Rfam family "Bacterial small subunit ribosomal RNA", at positions 28 to 507 of the family's 1533-position model. The record is from RNAcentral.
GAUGAACGCUGGCGGCGUGCCUAAUACAUGCAAGUCGAGCGAACGGACGAGAAGCUUGCUUCUCUGAUGUUAGCGGCGGACGGGUGAGUAACACGUGGAUAACCUACCUAUAAGACUGGGAUAACUUCGGGAAACCGGAGUUAAUACCGGAUGAUAUUUUGAACCGCAUGGUUCAAAAGUGAAAGACGGUCUUGCUGUCACUUAUAGAUGGAUCCGCGCUGCAUUAGCUAGUUGGUAAGGUAACGGCUUACCAAGGCAACGAUGCAUAGCCGACCUGAGAGCGUAGUCGGCCAGACUCGAACGGAGACACGGUCCAGUCUCCUACGGAAAGCAGCAGUAGGGGAUCUUCAACAGUGGGCGAAAGCCUGACGAAGCCACGCCGCGUGAGUGAUGAAGGUCUUCGGAUCGUAAAACUCUGUUAUUAGGGAAGAACAUAUGUGUAAGUAACUGUGAACAUCUUGACGGUACCUAAUCAGAAAGCCACGGCUAACUACGUG